AGGGGUGGCAAAAUUAUUAAUCCGCCACUGGCCCUGACAACGGGGAGGGUGCCUUGCCCGAGGCGCAGGACCCUAACUUGAUGGGGAGGGAACACCCAGGGACACGGCUCAGGGAGGCUGCGGCUUCAGACCCAGCCAGCGAGAGAGAACAGGUGGCCAUCCCUGUCCCAGCUGCUGAGUUCCAGGCCGAGGUGCAGAAAGAUCCCUCCUUGCGGAAGAUAAGGGACCUGGCCGACCUCAGUGCGGUACAGACCAUGGGGAGAGGUGGCCGGAAAAGGUUCCUGUGGGAGAAGGGGGUUCCUGUACCGAGAAUGGGCUCCCCCAGGGAAAAUGGAGUCGGGGGGAUCAGGAGGCAGCUGGUGGUACCCCAGAAGUAUCGCCGCCAGCUGCUGUACCGGACCCAUUACAUUCCCCUCUCAGGGCACCAGGGAACCUGGCGUACCCAGCAGAGGCUGCUACGGAGCUUUUACUGGCCUGGGGUCUUUACUACUGUCCGACAGUACUGCCGAUCCUGUGACCCCUGUCAGAGGGGGAGGAAGGCCUGGGACAAGGGGAAAACAGCUUUAGGACCCUUGCCCAGCAUAGAGGAGCCUUUCCAGAGGGUGGCCAAGGUUAAAAGGGGGGCUCUGAACCAAGAGAGCCCGAAUCACCGACCUCCAGACUGGAAUGCUGGGAGAAGACCACAGCCCAGUUGGAACCCCAGGGGUAUUGGGGUGGGAAAAGGGCACAGGCCGCAUAAACCUUCCCACAUGCGAACUACGAGUGCCAUCGAGCACACCCGACCUAAGGGGGGCAUGAAACUGGAAGGGCCUGGUGUAAUUCUCACCAAGGAACUGGAGGGAUGCGGGGGCAUCCAUGGGAACGGGGAUAGGUUCGAACUUCCCCGGGUCACUGGCUGAAGUGACCCCGCUCAGUUCGGUCUCGAAGGGGGAGAGAUGUGACGAACUGGGACUGUUCUUAAUGUGGUCUUUGAAUGCUGAGUUGGGAGUGUUGGCUGGGAAGGCAGGGGAGUUUGGCUAGGAUGGUCUGCGUUGGGGGAUGGGAGACUGCCCGAAGGCGAAUACCUGAGCAUGUAACGUGAGAACCCAGGAAGGGGUUAGAGGCCAGGUGACACCUUUGCCCGGGAAACUGAACAAAGG
This 1139-nucleotide long non-coding RNA is filed under the name Chrysemys picta bellii (western painted turtle). Its description in RNAcentral is "lncRNA (ENSCPBG00000001924.1)". The record is from RNAcentral. Lineage: Eukaryota; Metazoa; Chordata; Testudines; Emydidae.